This is an unclassified non-coding RNA of Papio anubis (olive baboon), 148 nucleotides long. It matches the Rfam family "Metazoan signal recognition particle RNA". From Rfam's summary of the family: The signal recognition particle (SRP) is a universally conserved ribonucleoprotein. It is involved in the co-translational targeting of proteins to membranes. NCBI's taxonomy places the organism in Eukaryota, Metazoa, Chordata, Mammalia, Primates, Cercopithecidae. The record is from Ensembl.
GCCAGGUGUAGUAGCGGGCGCCUGUAAUCCCAGCUACUCAGGAGGCUGAGGCAGGAGAAUCGCUUGAACCCGGGAGGCUGUGGAUGCAGUGAGCCGAGAUCGCACCACUGCACUCCAGCCUGGGCAACAGAGUGAGACUCUGUCUUAA